Molecule: long non-coding RNA, 1631 nt
Organism: Serinus canaria (Common canary)
Lineage: Eukaryota; Metazoa; Chordata; Aves; Passeriformes; Fringillidae
Exons: 3
Source: RefSeq, a predicted model, not a curated record
AGGAUAUUUCUGAAACUGCUGGAGGUGUUGCAUCUUCUGGGAGGGCUGGCUGUCUUAUCUGAGAACACCCACUGCGUGCAAGUUUUCUACAGUCUUUGUCAGAAGCACCCAAGAACCCUACAACUCCCAGUUCAUCUGUAUAAACCAGCAGGUACUGUACUAAAGAAGACAGAGAAAUCAUGUAACAUGGGGUGACGGCUGUACCAAAAAAAAUCUACACCAAACAAACUGGAAAAGCUAAUGAAAGGGUGAAAUGAAGACCACAUAAGGACUUGAGCAAAGGGCUGAAAUGAAGUCUGGAUGAGGGCAGCAGUCCUUCACAACUGAUGAAGAAUUUCUGCCUAGAGAAGACCAGAGAGGAAAGAGAGAAGAGCAAGAAAGCAAAGGAAAAAUGUAGACCUGGUCAGGCUGCUGAAAGGGAAGCAGUGUGAGUAGAUGCCUCAGUUCUUUUGUGGGUACAGAUCUACAUGCAUAGCAAAAAAUCUAUAUAUAUUGGUUUAUCAAUGGCUAGCUCCAGGGGAAUCAGAGUCACUGUUUCAGUAAGAGCAGGACUGAACCCCAGUGCUGCAGCUGGGAUUCAACUUUCUUCACCCAUUUUUCACAUCUCUGUUUUUGUCUGGUUUUUAUUCCUUGAGUAAUUUGUUGUGUAGGUUACAAACAAUUUCUUUGCAUUUUCUGUAUGUUUGUUCUGAAUGGGAAAACCCCUGGGUGAAAUGUGUGGACAGCAAUGCUGGCAAGCUCAGAGAGGGAGAGCUGAGCACCUGAUCUGUCAUGGCCAUGUCGUGUUUGCAGUUUCAUAGCAACAGUAAUAGUGUGGAGGAAAAGAAUGCAGGGAUACCACUGAGAUAAAAAAUCAGUAAAACUAAUGCAAAGUCUGAGUAAAGGAAGCUUUAAAAAAUUUAUGCAAAAGUAAGUAAACCUCAGAUAAAUGAAGUCAUAGGCAAAGUACUGAUGCUGAAUCCUGCUGGAGCAGUUCACAUUCCCACUAUUAAAGGUGAAAAGCAAUCAUUAUCCUCAUUGCACAGAUGAAGAAAAUAAAAAGAGAGGAGUUAAAGAUCAUCCACAAAGUCAUAGAGUGAAACAUUAGUGCAUGGAGAAUGAAACUCAGCUUUGCAGUGAUCUACCAUGAGAUUAUGCUGCAGAAAAGUCACUGAAAAGUUCAGCUAUGGGAAACACCACUAAUGUGCUUUGAAAAUUUCCAGUUAGAGGUGAACUGCAAAGAGUAAAAAGGUGAAAAAUAAAAAACCCUGUAAUUGUCAUGAAAAUUACAUUGGGUCACCUCCUUUCAAAAAAGAUGCAGCAGAGACAGAACUGAUAAAGAAAUAAUAGGCGGGAUUGGCACUGCUCAGCUUUUGGUUUGCAACCCCAAGAAGGGUACAAAUGCAGAAGGGGAAGCUGAAGGGGAACUGUCACUGCAAUAUACUGAGAGCUUAACUUCUGCCCAAGGCAAUUGUCGCUCACCUUUUACCUACACAUCCUACCUUAGAGGUCAAGUAUUCACUGCCAAUCUCUCAAAGCUUAUACUGCGGUCCACUAUAAAAUCUUAGUAUUAGUAUCACAGAUAUAUAUUUUAUUCUCACAAAGUAAAUGUAAAUGUGCAGGAACACAUUUUUUAAAAAGUAAGGAAUUUC